AGCAAUGUCUUCAUUGCUGGGCCAGAGCAGGGCACCCACAGGGCCUUUUCCCAGGGAAGGCCUUGCCCCUGGGAUCAAAAUGUAUGGGCCUGACAGCUUCAGGUCCUUUUUUCCCCACAUUUGGGACUCUGGAGCAGGGAAGGAGCAAGGGGAUGACACAGGUCUAGCCUAGACACCCCGGCCUGGAGGACAGUGAGACUGCUAGCCUCAGCAUGGAGGCCGCUUCCCAUAACCACAAUCCUGUGUCCUUUCCCCACCCCAGUUAUGGGGGAAUGCUGAGCGCCUACAUGAGGAUGAAGUACCCCCACCUGGUGGCUGGGGCACUGGCGGCCAGCGCUCCUGUUAUAGCUGUCGCAGGCCUUGGCAACCCCGACCAAUUCUUCCGAGAUGUCACAGCGGUGAGUGAUGGGGCUUGGGUACCCCAGGCCAGUGCAGGAAGGUGAGCAGCAGCAAUCUUGGCUUCUUUUCCAGGACUUCUUUUUUUUUUUUUCUUUUUUCUUUUUUUCGGAGCUGGGGACCGAACCCAGGGCCUUGCGCUUGCUAGGCAAGCGCUCUACCGCUAAGCUGAAUCCCCAACCCCUUUUCCAGGACUUCUAUGGCCAGAGUCCCAAGUGUGCCCAGGCUGUGCGGGAUGCUUUCCAGCAAAUCAAAGACUUGUUCCUCCAGGGAGCCUAUGACACCAUCAGCCAGAAUUUUGGGACCUGCCAAUCACUUUCCAGCCCAAAGGACCUGACUCAGCUCUUUGGGUUUGCCCG
This 755-nucleotide long non-coding RNA is filed under the name Rattus norvegicus (Norway rat). Its description in RNAcentral is "long non-coding RNA NONRATT019035". Lineage: Eukaryota; Metazoa; Chordata; Mammalia; Rodentia; Muridae. The record is from RNAcentral.